AUUGAACGCUGGCGGCAUGCCUUACACAUGCAAGUCGAACGGCAGCACGGGUGCUUGCACCUGGUGGCGAGUGGCGAACGGGUGAGUAAUACAUCGGAACAUGUCCUGUAGUGGGGGAUAGCCCGGCGAAAGCCGGAUUAAUACCGCAUACGAUCUACGGAUGACAGCGGGGACCUUCGUGCCUCGCGCUAUAGGGUUGGCCGAUGGCUGAUUAGCUAGUUGGUGGGGUAAAGGCCUACCAAGGCGACGAUCAGUAGCUGGUCUGAGAGGACGACCAGCCACACUGGGACUGAGACACGGCCCAGACUCCUACGGGAGGCAGCAGUGGGGAAUUUUGGACAAUGGGCGAAAGCCUGAUCCAGCAAUGCCGCGUGUGUGAAGAAGGCCUUCGGGUUGUAAAGCACUUUUGUCCGGAAAGAAAUCCUUGGCCCUAAUACGGUCGGGGGAUGACGGUACCGGAAGAAUAAGCACCGGCUAACUACGUG
RNAcentral lists this ribosomal RNA (485 nucleotides) under uncultured bacterium. Its description in RNAcentral is "partial 16S ribosomal RNA". It matches the Rfam family "Bacterial small subunit ribosomal RNA", at positions 30 to 507 of the family's 1533-position model. The record is from RNAcentral.